RNAcentral lists this ribosomal RNA (442 nucleotides) under uncultured bacterium. Its description in RNAcentral is "partial 16S ribosomal RNA". It matches the Rfam family "Bacterial small subunit ribosomal RNA", at positions 338 to 795 of the family's 1533-position model. The record is from RNAcentral.
CCUACGGGAGGCAGCAGUAGGGAAUCUUUCACAAUGGGCGAAAGCCUGAUGGAGCAACGCCGCGUGCAGGAUGAAGGCCUUCGGGUUGUAAACUGCUUUUAUAAGCGAGAAAUAUGAUGGUAACUUAUGAAUAAGGAUCGACUAACUACGUGCCAGCAGCCGCGGUCAUACGUAGGAUCCGAGCAUUAUCCGGAGUGACUGGGUGUAAAGAGUUGCGUAGGUGGCAUAAUAAGUAGCUAGUGAAAUCUGGUGGCUCAACCAUUCAGACUAUUAGCUAAACUGUUAAGCUCGAGACCGUUAGGGGUAACUGGAAUUUCUAGUGUAGGAGUGAAAUCCGUAGAUAUUAGAAGGAACACCAAUAGCGUAGGCAGGUUGCUGGGACGGUUCUGACACUAAGGCACGAAAGCGUAGGGAGCAAACGGGAUUAGAUACCCGUGUAGUC